GAUGAACGCUGGCGGCGUGCUUAACACAUGCAAGUCGAACGGAAAGGCCCAAGCUUGCUUGGGUACUCGAGUGGCGAACGGGUGAGUAACACGUGGGUGAUCUGCUCUGCACUUCGGGAUAAGCCUGGGAAACUGGGUCUAAUACCGGAUAGGACGAUGGUUUGGAUGCCAUUGUGGAAAGUUUUUUCGGUGUGGGAUGAGCUCGCGGCCUAUCAGCUUGUUGGUGGGGUAAUGGCCUACCAAGGCGUCGACGGGUAGCCGGCCUGAGAGGGUGUACGGCCACAUUGGGACUGAGAUACGGCCCAGACUCCUACGGGAGGCAGCAGUGGGGAAUAUUGCACAAUGGGCGCAAGCCUGAUGCAGCGACGCCGCGUGGGGGAUGACGGCCUUCGGGUUGUAAACUCCUUUCGCUAGGGACGAAGCGUUUUUGUGACGGUACCUGGAGAAGAAGCACCGGCUAACUACGUG
This 468-nucleotide ribosomal RNA is filed under the name uncultured bacterium. RNAcentral's name for it is "partial 16S ribosomal RNA". It matches the Rfam family "Bacterial small subunit ribosomal RNA", at positions 28 to 507 of the family's 1533-position model. The record is from RNAcentral.